This 460-nucleotide ribosomal RNA is filed under the name uncultured bacterium. RNAcentral's name for it is "partial 16S ribosomal RNA". It matches the Rfam family "Bacterial small subunit ribosomal RNA", at positions 338 to 795 of the family's 1533-position model. The record is from RNAcentral.
CCUACGGGCGGCAGCAGUGAGGAAUAUUGGUCAAUGGACGAGAGUCUGAACCAGCCAAGUAGCGUGAAGGAUGACUGCCCUAUGGGUUGUAAACUUCUUGUAUAAAGGAAUAAAACGAGGCACGUGUGCCUUUUUGCAUGUACUUUAUGAAUAAGGAUCGGCUAACUCCGUGCCAGCAGCCGCGGUAAUACGGAGGAACCGAGCUUUAUCCGGAUUUAUUGGGUUUAAAGGGAGCGUAGAUGGGUUGUUAAAGCAGUUGGGAAAGUUUGCGUCUCAACCGUAAAAUUGCAAGUGAUACUGGCAGUCUUGAGUACAGUUGAGGUAGGCGGAAUUCGUGGUGUAGCGGUGAAAUGCUUAGAUAUCACGAAGAACCCCGAUUGCGAAGGCAGCUUACUAAACUGUGACUGACAUUGAUGCUCGAAAGUGUGGGUAUCAAACAGGAUUAGAUACCCGGGUAGUC